AGGGGCGGGGUGAGGAGGGCGGGGCGGUUGUGAAACCCUGGUAUUAAACAUAUUUUUCCCCUUAGUCUGAGACAUGACUGUAAAACCUUGUAAGGCCAUAGGGACACGCUCUACAGCCACAUGUCUCUGGGGGAAAAGUUGUCCCUACAUAUCUGCCUCCAAUAAACCUCACGAACUCAUAACCGCCCUAAAAAAACAAACUAUUAAACGCUGCGUCAUUGCGAGCGAGCGGAAAGACAUGACAGACACUAGAACGAUUUCCCUUCCAUAGUUAUUUAACUGCGGUUAUUACUGACUGAUGAACAAUAGCGUGGCGACGGAAGAAUGCAUGAGGUCAUGGAGAAAUGUAACGGUGGAGUCUACAAAGGCUCGGUUGGGGAUACGGGGGAGUGUGUAGGUGGGGUGUGUAGGUGGGGUGUGUAGGUGGAGUCCAUCUAUAAAGGCUCGGUUGGGGAUACGGAGGAGUGUGUAGGUGGGGUGUGUAGGUGGAGUCUAUAAAGGCUCGGUUGGGGAUACGGGGGAGUGUGUAGGUGGAGUCUAUAAAGGCUCGGUUGGGGAUACGGAGGAGUGUGUAGGUGGGGUGUGUAGGUGGAUUCUAUAAAGGCUCGGUUGGGGAUACGGAGGAGUGUGUAGGUGGGGUGUGUAGGUGGAUUCUAUAAAGGCUCGGUUGGGGAUACGGGGGAGUGUGUAGGUGGGGUGUGUAGGUGGAGUCUAUAAAGGCUCGGUUGGGGAUACGGAGGAGUGUGUAGGUGGGGUGUGUAGGUGGAGUCUAUAAAGGCUCGGUUGGGGAUACGGAGGAGUGUGUAGGUGGGGUGUGUAGGUGGAGUCUAUAAAGGCUCGGUUGGGGAUACGGAGGAGUGUGUAGGUGGGGUGUGUAGGUGGAGUCUAUAAAGGCUCGGUUGGGGAUACGGAGGAGUGUGUAGGUGGGGUGUGUAGGUGGAUUCUAUAAAGGCUCGGUUGGGGAUACGGAGGAGUGUGUAGGUGGGGUGUGUAGGUGGAGUCUAUAAAGGCUCGGUUGGGGAUACGGAGGAGUGUGUAGGUGGGGUGUGUAGGUGGAGUCUAUAAAGGCUCGGUUGGGGAUACGGAGGAGUGUGUAGGUGGGGUGUGUAGGUGGGGUGUGUAGGUGGAGUCUAUAAAGGCUCGGUUGGGGAUACGGAGGAGUGUGUAGGUGGAGUGUGUAGGUGGAGUCUAUAAAGGCUCGGUUUAAAACGGUCUAACCCCCCCCUGUACGGUCUCG
This is a long non-coding RNA of Oncorhynchus keta (chum salmon), 1237 nucleotides long. RefSeq lists it as uncharacterized. NCBI's taxonomy places the organism in Eukaryota, Metazoa, Chordata, Actinopteri, Salmoniformes, Salmonidae. The record is from RefSeq and is a predicted model, not a curated record. The transcript has 4 exons.